This 272-nucleotide ribosomal RNA is filed under the name Escherichia coli. RNAcentral describes it as "partial 16S ribosomal RNA". It matches the Rfam family "Bacterial small subunit ribosomal RNA", at positions 1 to 269 of the family's 1533-position model. RNAcentral also lists the same sequence under 1 other name. Lineage: Bacteria; Pseudomonadati; Pseudomonadota; Gammaproteobacteria; Enterobacterales; Enterobacteriaceae. The record is from RNAcentral.
AAAUUGAAGAGUUUGAUCAUGGCUCAGAUUGAACGCUGGCGGCAGGCCUAACACAUGCAAGUCGAACGGUAACAGGAAGAAGCUUGCUUCUUUGCUGACGAGUGGCGGACGGGUGAGUAAUGUCUGGGAAACUGCCUGAUGGAGAGGGAUAACUACUGGAAACGGUAGCUAAUACCGCAUAACGUCGCAAGACCAAAGAGGGGGACCUUCGGGCCUCUUGCCAUCGGAUGUGCCCAGAUGGGAUUAGCUAGUAGGUGGGGUAACGGCUCACC